UGAUAGAUAUGUACUCUGGACCUCUCCCAU
RNAcentral lists this non-coding RNA (30 nucleotides) under Mus musculus (house mouse). The record is from RNAcentral. Lineage: Eukaryota; Metazoa; Chordata; Mammalia; Rodentia; Muridae.